This 1479-nucleotide unclassified non-coding RNA is filed under the name Hevea brasiliensis (rubber tree). Lineage: Eukaryota; Viridiplantae; Streptophyta; Magnoliopsida; Malpighiales; Euphorbiaceae. The record is from RNAcentral.
AGGGCUAGAGAAGAUAAACUUGAGAUCAAGAAAAUGAUAAUCUAUGCAAUUGAAGAAGCAAUUAAAGAUUUAAAAGUGCUAAUAUAAUGACAUCUUCAAGCUACUCCAAGUGGCAGCUAUAGAACACAGAGGCCAAAUUGUUUUGGCGGCUAUAGAACACACAGGCCAAAUUGUUUUUCUUUUUUCCAUUUUUAUAACAUACAUUUCUUCAGCGAGAAUGCUACCUAAUUAAAGCAUUUUUUUGAGGAUGCAUAUCACCAAUUCAAAGUUAAAUAUAGGAACGAUACCUUUGCAAGUAUGUGUCAAUGCAAGGUGAUGGUAUGAAUGAGCUUCAUUUCGUUUUGUUUUAAAGAGAGUUUCAGGCCCACCAUGAGGAAAUACAAAUAGAGAUUAUAAAUUUCUUGCUCAUGAUUCUGAAGUUUCCGCUCUAUGAAAUUUUAGAACUUGUGAUCCUUGAACAGAAUUCUCUUGCCAAAAGAGAAUAUCAAGUUCCUCCUACUCAAAAAUCAAAAGGCAAAGCAUAGUUUGAAGAAUCUCUUUCAAACAUUGAUAGCGUGCUGAUACACUUGUUUUCUAAUGAAAGAAAAUGUUAUCAAAUCAACAAAAUAAUUAUGGAACAUCUAUAAUUAAUAAUAACAUUGAUAUUAAAAAAAUUAUAAUAUAACUUUAGAUAAUUCUCUUAAAAUAAAACAAAUGACCCAUAUGCAUGGCUCCUACAUAUUCAAAUUGUGUAACUCUUGGGCUCAAAAAACAAUGUCCACUUAAACCUAUUAACCUUUUACUCUUUCAACUUCUAAACUAAUUGAGAAAAAUUUAUCUUCGGUAUUUACACAAACAAGUAUGCACAAUUAGAAACAUACUAGAACAAGAAUUUCAAAGUAGAAUAAAAAAUGUUUAAAAUAUUUCUUUUUUAGUAGGGGAUUGGACAAGUGAGAACUAAAACUUGGCUUUGCUAAGUAAUAUGUCUUUAACUAUUAUACUAAGCCAAACUAGGCAAAAAUAUUUCAAAUAUUAAGAUCAAAUAAAAGGAGAGUAGGAUAAAGAUGAAAUAAGUCAUUAUGAUAUUUAUCACUUUUAUUAUUUGAGUUGUUAGAAGGACGUUUUGGUGGAAUAGUCAUGUCAUACAUAAUAUCUUGGCUAUCAAUAGUUACAUACAGGUCUAUAUAACAUAGAAAAGUAGGAUACCCAUGACGUGUACGUGUGGGAUGUACCAAAUCCUCAUUAAAUUUGAUUUUUCCAUUAGAGGGUAAUCUUUCAAUAUGUAGCAGCCAUCAAAAAUUACUCGUCUAUUGGGCAUCUUUUGAAUAAAAAAAAUAAAAUGAAAUCCAAGAAAUUAAAUUAGGAAUAUGUUUUAUUUUCCUUAUGGAAAAGUAGACUAUGAAUCGAAGAAGAAAUAGAAUGAAAGAGAGAGUAAGAAGCAUUAUCAUUUCCCCCCUAUUUAGACUAUGAUUUCUUUUUGAAAUAAAAGAAUUCAAUUCU